RNAcentral lists this ribosomal RNA (446 nucleotides) under uncultured bacterium. RNAcentral describes it as "bacterial SSU rRNA". It matches the Rfam family "Bacterial small subunit ribosomal RNA", at positions 329 to 792 of the family's 1533-position model. The record is from RNAcentral.
CGCCAGACUCCUACGGGAGGCAGCAGUGGGGAAUAUUGCACAAUGGGGGAAACCCUGAUGCAGCGACGCCGCGUGAGCGAUGAAGUAUUUCGGUAUGUAAAGCUCUAUCAGCAGGGAAGAAGAUGACGGUACCUGACUAGGAAGCCCCGGCUAACUACGUGCCAGCAGCCGCGGUAAUACGUAGGGGGCAAGCGUUAUCCGGAUUUACUGGGUGUAAAGGGAGCGUAGACGGCGAUGCAAGCCAGAUGUGAAAGCCCGGGGCUCAACCCCGGGACUGCAUUUGGAACUGUCAAACUAGAGUACGGGAGAGGUAAGAGGAAUUCCUAGUGUAGCGGUGAAAUGCGUAGAUAUUAGGAGGAACACCAGUGGCGAAGGCGUCUUACUGGACCGAAACUGACGUUGAGGCUCGAAAGCGUGGGGAGCAAACAGGAUUAGAUACCCGCGUA